Molecule: transfer RNA, 87 nt
Filed under: Desulfosarcina sp. OttesenSCG-928-A07
Lineage: Bacteria; Pseudomonadati; Thermodesulfobacteriota; Desulfobacteria; Desulfobacterales; Desulfosarcinaceae
Description: tRNA-Leu
Rfam family: tRNA
About the family: Transfer RNA (tRNA) molecules are approximately 80 nucleotides in length. Their secondary structure includes four short double-helical elements and three loops (D, anti-codon, and T loops).
Source: RNAcentral
GCCGAGGUGGUGGAAUCUGGUAGACACGCUAUCUUGAGGGGGUAGUGACCAACGGUCGUGCGGGUUCAAGUCCCGCCCUCGGCACCA